RNAcentral lists this long non-coding RNA (1340 nucleotides) under Manacus vitellinus (golden-collared manakin). RNAcentral's name for it is "lncRNA (ENSMVIG00005002190.1)". Lineage: Eukaryota; Metazoa; Chordata; Aves; Passeriformes; Pipridae. The record is from RNAcentral.
CUGUCGGGUUUCCUUCUCUGCUGAAAACAGCCGACAGGAAAGUAAUUACAGAAGCAGAUGUGACUUGUGACGUAAAUGUUACUUCUGGCCAUUUUUUGCCUUUUUUUUUUAACUAAUCCAACAGAGUGAUUCCAAAGCAAAAGUCAACUGGUACAUGAGACAUAUGAGCCUAUGGUGGUAAUUUCAAGCUUUUCCUUGGCUCAGUCAGGUCCAGGGACAAUUUGCAAUACCUUACCAAUCAUUCUUUCAAAUUAAAUUAGUCAGUAAGAGAAAUUUUCAGAGCAGCUUCAAUAUGUGCAUCCCAUGUAACUGCCUGCAAUGAAUCCCACCACUCUGUCCACUGACUUACUGAUGUCUCUGUCCUGAGCAAGAUAUUGAAGCGUUCCUUGUAAUCCUUUGGAUUAAUAAAUCAGUAAGUAUUUUCCAUCUCAUGUUUCUUUUCAAGACAAGUUAAUUCCAUAGCCUAAAGACUUAAAGUAAAGCUGAAUUUAACUAUUUAGGUCUUUUAAAUCACCUCAUUUUCAGGAUAUCAUGUGAUUUCUGCUGCAUCAGAUGGAGCUGUAGCAAAGUGUUUGUAAGCUCUCUAGAUGCUCACUUGUCCUGGUGUUUUGUAAGGAUGAGCCCAGUGAGCCAUCGAGUUUGAUCUCCCUCUGUGUCCGUGUUGAGGCCAGCAGUCUGAAUGACCACCGGUCCCUUGGCACAGCCCCUCGCCCGAGUAGUCUUGUAUCAGUGAGUCACCUGGGGCUGUAAACUGUCCCCCCAGACAGCUGCAGCCCAAGACCUUGUAUCUUCCUGCACCAACAACUGGAUGUGUCCCUGAGCUUCCCUGAUGCCAAUGCAGCAGUGCUUUGAUGCUGGCCUUCAGCUACACACCAGCCUUGGAGUCUCAGAGAGAGCAGUAAACACAACUGUUGGAGCCCCAGUAGUCAGACCCUGAGGAUGCUCAUCUCUUCAUGCACAAGACUUUAAUUCUUCCCAAACUCACCUGGCAAUGUCUGCCCAAAACUGGAUGCACAGGCUGUUACCGACUGACCAACCACCAGCCAGUGGCAGAGCCAGGUCCAAUGUUUCAGAAAGUCAGAGGACCCAGUCCCUUGAUGAUGGAUCCCAUUGGGUUGCCUCUAGUUAGGCAGCCACUAUCACCAGCUCCUUUUGGAAAUAAGACCUUUAUUUAAGCCACAGAAAAAAUAUCUUCCUUCCACCUGGCCUGGCUGAGGGACAGCGAUUAAAACCCGUAUCUUUCUCACUCACAUAUCCUGUCUAUGGAGCUAUUGAGAAAACGUAUGUCCUUGGGAGCUGUUGAUAAAAAUAAAAGGUUUGUCUUUCAAUAGGAUUUAACA